RNA transcript from Mus pahari (shrew mouse), 519 nucleotides. It is a transcript of the gene named heat shock protein HSP 90-beta pseudogene, with no coding region annotated. The record is from RefSeq and is a predicted model, not a curated record. The transcript has a single exon. Lineage: Eukaryota; Metazoa; Chordata; Mammalia; Rodentia; Muridae.
AUGCGAGUCGGACAUGGUCCGGGCCCACCACCCUGCUCUGUACUACUACUCGGCUUUCCCGUCAAGAUGCCUGAGGAAGUGCACCAUGGAGAGGAGGAGGUGGAGACCUUUGCCUUUCAGGCAGAAAUUGCCCAGCUCAUGUCCCUCAUCAUCAACACUUUCUAUUCCAACAAGGAGAUUUUCCUCCAAGAGUUAAUCUCUAAUGCUUCAGAUGCCCUGGACAAGAUUUGGUAUGAGAGCCUGACGGACCCCUCCAAGUUGGACAGUGGGAAAGAGCUGAAAAUUGACAUCAUCCCCAACCCUCAGGAGCGCACACUGACUUUGGUGGACACCGGCAUUGGCAUGACCAAGGCUGACCUCAUUAACAACUUGGGAACCAUUGCUAAGUCUGGCACGAAGGCGUUCAUGGAGGCUCUGCAGGCUGGUGCAGACAUCUCCAUGAUUGGGCAGUUUGGUGUUGGGUUCUACUCUGCUUAUCUAGUGGCAGAGAAAGUGGUUGUGAUAAUGAAGCACAACGAU